Molecule: RNA transcript, 1337 nt
Organism: Pomacea canaliculata
Lineage: Eukaryota; Metazoa; Mollusca; Gastropoda; Architaenioglossa; Ampullariidae
Gene name: neuralized-like protein 4
Exons: 4
Source: RefSeq, a predicted model, not a curated record
UGAAAAUUGCGGGACUAACAUUCGACUAACAAACUAUAACACGACCGCGAAGAAGAUAGAGCCAGAGCACAUCGGUGAUGGAGUGGUUGUGUCACGUGACGUUAUGGUGGCAAACGUCUUGUAUGAAGUGGCAGUUGACGAAGUGUUAGCAGAAGACGGCUCGUUAAGCCUGGGUGUGAUAACAAACCCUCAUCCAGGCCUCGUUGUGACGAUGUUUAUCACAGGCCUUAAAGACUCCGUCAUCAUCGAGCCCGACUGCGUCUUUCACCAAAAAUCACGUGUAGGUUUCCAUGGCAACACGUAGGGUGAUGAGCACAAUUGGCGAAGGUCUCAAGAGACUUCAAGUCGGGAGUCGAGUUGGGGUCCUGGUGGACACAUCCAACGAUCUUCACCUCUUCGUCGACGGACAGGACCGGGGUGUUGCAGCAAAAGAUGUUAAACAACCCUGUUUUGCUGUCUUUGAUAUUUACGGUACAGUUAAUAAGGUCACAGCACUUCCUCCAUCUAGAAGGAUAUGAAAAAAUGUGAAGAACAAAAAGGCUGUGAUAGGAACAAGUGAAUAUGUUCUUGAUUUACGACAUCAGCCUGGGUAUUGAUAUUGCCAUUGUCAGCCCUAAUGUAUUUAUUUAAUUCACCUGUUUACUAUCCAAAACAAAAAAUGUUGAACUGUUUCGCGUUUUAUUUUUUUUUUUGUUGAAGCCCAUGAAAAAACUAUUAACAUGAGACUUUUAUUGCAGUUAUAUCAGCUGCCCUUUACCCCCUCCAGACACACAGUUAUGUACAGACAAAGAUUUUCAAACUGCAACAUCGCUCCUGCCCAGUUCCCCUUACAGAUUCUUUUCCUACAUAUAUACUUUCUCCCAGGGCAAAAUUAAAGUUGGCUCUCACUUGGCCUUCAUCCGUUUUGCUUUGUUUUUGCUACUCAUUAUCUGAAAUUAUUUUUCGGCAACCGUAAAAGUGACUAGGUGGUACUGUGAGCUUCUCUUUGAUUCUACUCACUCUUUAUCUUUAUCAAUGAAGGUGAAGGUGUGUAGCUCGAUCUGCUUAAACUACCAAGAAUGUACUGCCCAUGCGCUGAAUGAUUCUUUUUGUAUUGUUCCUGGCUUCUCUAUUGCGCUUUUAUUGGUAUUUCAAUAUGUUUCGACUGAAAGAUUAAGAUUUUUGAGUUUUCAUUGACAAAUUGUCCUUCAUUUACUCAGUACGAGAUUUACUUUUAGCAUUAUUGAUAGAUAAAAGGUUUCUUGUAUCAGUUAACAUACUUAAAAAUUUGAUGUGUAUUGUUGAAGCAAUAAAGACUUUAAAUCUUUCAGCAAUCUACAGGGUUUACAAUAAGUUGC